ACACCUGCCGUCAGUCGAAUCAGCCAUGCGAGAAACCGCAGGCAGCGCGUGUCGACUGUGGGUACGGCCGGUCAGGGACCAAGCCCGCGUGCAAGGUCACCCCGAAGACGUGAUCUUUCACCCCUCGCCGACGAACCGCGCUGGUUCCGUGAAGGUGGCCGCCUCUUCUCCGCUGGGUGCUUGACAGGUGACAACGGAGCUGGCGCAAGACGCGAAACAAAAGGGCUCGAGAGCCCACCCAACUACGCCCACGUAGAAACCGGAAGGUCGAGCCUCCUGACCGUAGUACUGGACAGCUGGGACUUGCUGCUUGUCGUCUGCCUACCUGAUAAAUGCUUGAAAACCGGUCAGGAGUAAUGCUGCCGGGCCGAGCGACACACACUGUGAAGGCAAACGUUCCAAUAUACAUGUACUAUUCAGUGUGCGAAUGUCAUGGUAUUCUUUGUAUUGCACAGCUGAGUAACAUGAACGUGCCUGUAAGUGUUUAAAUGUCACUUCCUGUGCCCUGUUAGGCUUGAUCUGUGGAGGAGAAAAUAGUGUUCUACUCAUUUAUUACCGUUGUUGCGUGUAGUGGGAGUAUCUGUGAAUGCACUCUCGAA
Molecule: long non-coding RNA, 599 nt
Organism: Rhipicephalus microplus (southern cattle tick)
Lineage: Eukaryota; Metazoa; Arthropoda; Arachnida; Ixodida; Ixodidae
Source: RefSeq, a predicted model, not a curated record